AACGAACGCUGGCGGCAGGCUUAACACAUGCAAGCCGAACGCAUGCCUUCGGGCAUGAGUGGCAGACGGGUGAGUAACGCGUGGGAACCUACCCCUUGGUACGGGAUAGCUCCGGGAAACUGGAGAUAAUACCGUAUGUGUCCUGAGGGACAAAGAUUCAUCGCCAAGGGAUGGGCCCGCGUCGGAUUAGCUAGUUGGUGGGGUAACGGCCUACCAAGGCGACGAUCCGUAGCUGGUCUAAGAGGAUGAUCAGCCACAUUGGGACUGAGACACGGCCCAAACUCCUACGGGAGGCAGCAGUGGGGAAUAUUGGACAAUGGGCGCAAGCCUGAUCCAGCCAUGCCGCGUGAGUGAUGAAGGCCCUAGGGUUGUAAAGCUCUUUCACCGGUGACGAUAAUGACGGUAACCGGAGAAGAAGCCCCGGCUAACUUCGUG
RNAcentral lists this ribosomal RNA (435 nucleotides) under uncultured bacterium. RNAcentral describes it as "partial 16S ribosomal RNA". It matches the Rfam family "Bacterial small subunit ribosomal RNA", at positions 29 to 507 of the family's 1533-position model. The record is from RNAcentral.